CUAACACUUUGCAGAGUUUGAUAGUACUUAACUAUAGCCCUAGCACUCCAGAGACUGAAGUAAGAGGACCACGAAUUCAAGGCCAGCCUGGUCCAUAAGCUAGUUUCAAUGUCAACUUGAUGCAAGCUGGAGUCAUCAGAGAGGAGAGGAGAGAGCCUCAAAUAAGAAAAUUACUCCAAGCUGUAGGCCCAUAAUAUCCAGAGAGGCAGGCGGAUCUCUGUGAGUUCGAGGCCAGCCAGGCUGUGGUGGCGCACGCCUUUAAUCCCAACACUCAGG
Alexandromys fortis (reed vole) is the source of this 276-nucleotide long non-coding RNA. RefSeq lists it as uncharacterized. The transcript is spliced from 3 exons. The record is from RefSeq and is a predicted model, not a curated record. NCBI's taxonomy places the organism in Eukaryota, Metazoa, Chordata, Mammalia, Rodentia, Cricetidae.